AACGUUGGAAUAUCCAUAAAUCCAUUUAAUGCAUCAGCUGUUUUAGUGAUUUUCCAUCCACAGAUUCCAAUGAUGACUUUAUAGAAAGAUAUUCAAGUUUAACUCAACUUUUAAUAACAUUUCCAGGAGACCUUCAAAAUAAAAGCUGACUGACGUCUUGUUUCCAUCCACCGCUGUAGAAUAACUGUUAACAUAAUAACAAAAUUGAACAAAAUUACAUAUUUGCUCAAGAGUUCAGUGGUUGUAUUGUUGACCAUAAUGCACUAAAUGGACGUCAUGAUGUAUCAAAGGAGACUUUAUAGUUUUUACACCUGCCUGGCAGGACAGUUUGCCUGAGAGCCUGAAACCAGGGCGAAACAACCCUCCCCUUCUCACUCUCUGCUCGACGACGGGACAGCCGCCAGGCUUGGUUUCCAAGGUGGUUUCCAUGGUUACCGCUGAGCCUCGCUCUGACCUGAUUGUUCGAAAAAAAAACAAUGAGGGAAAACUUCAAAGGGGAGCUGCUCAGUUCAGUUGCCUAGCAACAAGGCUCAGUGGCAGAACUCUGUCUCUUAAAUCUGUAACUGUCUUCUGCUCUCAGUCCGUCUCUGUCGUUUCAUCUCUCUCCCUCUCUCUCUCUCUCUCUCCGUUCAUGACUUGUUUCAUUUUCAAUUUUCUUUAUUUACAUGACGCCAAACCAUAGAAACAUAACACGAGAAUAGAUGAGAACAGAGAUAAAGUAAAAUAAAAGAGUUGAGAUGAAAUGAGACAUGGAUGAGAUGAGCCAGAUAUGAGACACGGAUGAGAUGAGACAAGAUAGAGAUGAGACAUGGAUGAGAUGAGACAGAUGAGAUAGAGAUGAGACAUGGGUGAGAUGAGACAUGGAUGGGAUGAGCCAGAGAUGACACACGGAUGAGAUGAGACAGAGAUGAUACAAGAUAGAGAUGACACAUGGAUGAGAUGAGACAUGGAGGAGACAUGGGUGAGAUGGGAUAGAGAUGAGACAUGGGUGAAAUGAGAGAGAUGAGACAUGGAUGAGAUGAGACAGAUGAGAUGGAGAUGAGACAUGGAUGGGAUGAGGCUGAGAUGAGACAUGAAUGAGGUAAGAUGAGACGAGAUAGAGAUGAGACAUGGAUGAGAUGAGACUGAUGAGAUGGAAAUAAGAUAGCAAUGAGAUGAAAUAGCAAUGAGAUAGAGCUUUAGUUUUUUUUAGACAAAAAACAGAAUAAACUGGAGAAGCUGUACGGAGUGAGUCAUGUAGUGCAGGGUGGGGGGCCAGGGGUAGCAGGAGAAGGAGAGUUUGAGGUGGGUUGUGAGGGCUUGUUUGGAUGGUGAUAGGGUGGGAGCCUGGCGGAUGUGGAAGGAGUGACAAUGGAGCCAUCGUGUUGCGAGAGAAGGUCUGGGAUGAGCGGCUGAAAGAGGGAGUCAGUAGUUAC
Molecule: long non-coding RNA, 1415 nt
Organism: Gasterosteus aculeatus aculeatus (three-spined stickleback)
Lineage: Eukaryota; Metazoa; Chordata; Actinopteri; Perciformes; Gasterosteidae
Source: Ensembl